RNAcentral lists this non-coding RNA (94 nucleotides) under human gut metagenome. RNAcentral describes it as "Glycine riboswitch". It matches the Rfam family "Glycine riboswitch aptamer", at positions 9 to 86 of the family's 94-position model. Rfam says of the family: This family represents the bacterial glycine riboswitch. Glycine riboswitches usually consist of two metabolite-binding aptamers domains with similar structures in tandem. The record is from RNAcentral. RNAcentral also lists the same sequence under 1 other name.
GAGUCUCUGGAGAAUCCCUUGGCCGGCUGGCCAAAGGGUGCCGAAGGUGCAAGGCUCGCGCAGAGCCGAAUCUCUCAGGCAAAAGGACAGAGCG